UACAGAGGGUGCGAGCGUUGUUCGGAAUUAUUGGGCGUAAAGGGCGCGUAGGCGGCCAACUAAGUCGGAUGUGAAAUCCCCAGGCUUAACCUGGGAACUGCAUCCGAUACUGGAUGGCUUGAAUCCGGGAGAGGGAUGCAGAAUUCCAGGUGUAGCGGUGAAAUGCGUAGAUAUCUGGAGGAAUACCGGUGGCGAAGGCGGCAUCCUGGACCGGCAUUGACGCUGAUGAGCGAAAGCUAGGGGAGCAAACGGG
RNAcentral lists this ribosomal RNA (253 nucleotides) under uncultured bacterium. RNAcentral describes it as "partial 16S ribosomal RNA". It matches the Rfam family "Bacterial small subunit ribosomal RNA", at positions 524 to 776 of the family's 1533-position model. The record is from RNAcentral.